This 219-nucleotide ribosomal RNA is filed under the name uncultured Lactobacillus sp. RNAcentral describes it as "partial 16S ribosomal RNA". It matches the Rfam family "Bacterial small subunit ribosomal RNA", at positions 144 to 355 of the family's 1533-position model. Lineage: Bacteria; Bacillati; Bacillota; Bacilli; Lactobacillales; Lactobacillaceae. The record is from RNAcentral.
UAACAACCUGGAAACAGAUGCUAAUACCGGAUAACAACAGAUGAUGCCUAUCAACUGUUUAAAAGAUGGUUCUGCUAUCACUCUUGGAUGGACCUGCGGUGCAUUAGCUAGUUGGUAGGGUAACGGCCUACCAAGGCGAUGAUGCAUAGCCGAGUUGAGAGACUGAUCGGCCUCAUUGGGACUGAGACACGGCCCAAACUCCUACGGGAGGCAGCAGCC